UUGCUUAGGCAGCACAUACAGUAAAACUGGAACAAUACAUGGAAGAUUAGAGUGUCCCCUGCACAAGGAUGACAUGCAAAUUUGUGAAGCAUUCCAUAUUUUC
RNAcentral lists this small nuclear RNA (103 nucleotides) under Coturnix japonica (Japanese quail). The record is from RNAcentral. Lineage: Eukaryota; Metazoa; Chordata; Aves; Galliformes; Phasianidae.